This is an RNA transcript of Musa acuminata AAA Group (dessert banana), 1911 nucleotides long. RefSeq lists it as uncharacterized. The transcript is spliced from 3 exons. The record is from RefSeq and is a predicted model, not a curated record. Lineage: Eukaryota; Viridiplantae; Streptophyta; Magnoliopsida; Zingiberales; Musaceae.
CUUCUACGCCUCUCGGAAUUGACGACGAUGAGGGAUAGAUCUCGCAGCGAUAGAAAUAAGCGGCGGUGCCGCUCGCCCUCCGCCUCUGCCGGAAAAUGGGCUGACCUUCUCGACCCGCUUCUUCUUUCCGUCCUCGACCGCCUCCCCUCCCUCCGCGACCGCUUCGCCGUCGCCUCCGUCUGUCGCACCUGGCGCGCCGUCUCCCGCCCCUCCCUGUCCUCGGCCACCGGUAGUUGUCCCCCUCUCCUCUUCCGCCUGUUCGUUGGCCCCUUCCACCGCCGGUCCCGCCGCUGCCACCAGAUUUCCCCCCGCCGUUGCGACCUCCUCUGCCCAGCCGCACCCUUCGCGCCCUCCCGCUCCGUGGUUUCCUCCGGGACCCUCAACCUUUUCCUCCUUGGCUGUUCCUAUGGCCACCUCAUCUUCUGCAAGGGCCGUCGUGCCAUCCUCGCUGACAUCUUCACUGGCGACGAGCUCCGUUCGCCGGACCUCCCCAGCGAUGGCUGGCGUUUCCACUACGGAGCCCUAACUGGUUCUCUGUCCUCUCCCGGCUCCAAUCUCCUCUUGAGUGCUAACGGGAACCUUCUGCGGUGGCGGAUUGGAGACAGUAAAUGGGAAGAAUGCUCAUUCACACCGCUUGAUGUUCACAUGGAACGUGUAGUGGCUUUCAAAGACCACGUUUUUGCGUUGGACAGUGCCGAAAGGCUUCGCGUUCUCCAGUUCUCGCCUUAUUUUAGCAUCAAACAGAUGGCAGUUGAGUGGGCUGGGCGAAGCAUUUACUCGGGCAUGAAUAUUGGCUUCACUCAGCAGCUGGUUGAGUGUGGUGGCGAGCUCAUGCUGGUGCAGGUCAUCCCUGCAGAGCAAAUUAUGCAUCUGAAGUUCGAAGUGUACCGCUUGGACUUGUCGGGACAGCCAACAUGGGUGAAGGUGGAUGGUUUGGGAGAUUGGGCAUUGUUCAUUGAGGAGUCAGGCAGAUGCCCGGCAUCGUGUCCUUGCCCAGGCAGAUGGGGAGGACGGAGCAAUUGCAUCUAUUAUGCCGGACAUGGACGUGGUCGUUGGCAUGUGUUCUCAUUGGACGACACGUCUAUUGAUACUACUGAUCCAGAAUCUCCUCUGUAUUUUGACAACCAAUGUGUUUCGAAGUGGCCUUCGCCCCUUUGGGUUUAUCCGAGUAUGUUGUAUUGAUCCCUUUGAUAGGUUGGAGUGCUUGUGUCAUUUGUUUUGAUGUGUGGUUAAGAGGUAUAGUGGUGAUAUCAUAGCCGUGGUCAUUUCUCAUUUAAUGACUAGUCUAAAGAUGUAGAAGAUUUAAUCUUUAUGUUUUUCUUUGGUUUCCUCCUCUCUUUCCAAGCUUCCAGAUCUUGGCUAUGGAGAGGACGAUCAAUGUUGAGACAUAAAAUUGGUGAUAGCAAUAGUGGCAAGGCAUAUGGAAUGGAUACACAUUGAUAGUUAUGGAAUUAAAGACACAUAUGCUGGAGCAAUUGCAAGUCUUAAGCGUUGCACUUAUAUUAUGAAUAGUCUUUGUUUAUGCAGAUCUUUGUUUAAUUAAUUUAGCAUAUUACUUUACAUGUUGUGUUGUCCUUUAUGCAGAUCAAAAAAAGGAGAAUUUUCUGUACAGGGUGUCAUCAAGAUUGCAGUGGAGCAAAGGGAAUUUUUGGUGGAUUGGUGACAUGCGUAGAAUGCAAAUAGAACAACAACGGUGAAAGCACUCUGCUGUAUCAACACUAACAUUGAGAGAAGGAAGCAAGGGGACCAAAUGGGACUAGUAUGUGCUAUCAUAAUAUGUUCAAGUUCACCUUUUUUUAUAAUAUCUGGUACAGUGAAAGCAUUUUACAUAAUUUAGGCCCAAUUUUAGUAUUUUAUGUCUGUUACAAUACCAAAACUUCAACAGUUAUAAGCUUCGCAAACUUCAUUCGA